Long non-coding RNA from Corvus hawaiiensis (hawaiian crow), 765 nucleotides. RefSeq lists it as uncharacterized. NCBI's taxonomy places the organism in Eukaryota, Metazoa, Chordata, Aves, Passeriformes, Corvidae. The transcript has 3 exons. The record is from RefSeq and is a predicted model, not a curated record.
CCCUCAGGACACACCUGCUCUCACAUCAAGAACUUCUGACAAGUGAUUUAAAUAUGUCAAAUAAUUUGAAGUCAUGUUUAGACUGUGAGUUUCAGCAAAGUAAUGAGUUCCAUUGAUACAAACUAGUAAGUGAGAUUGCUGGGUGUGCACGUGUUAGGGAAGUGAUUCCCCAUGCACCCAGCGCUGAAAUCAAGUAACGCCUCCUUUCUAAUGCUGAGAUGGCAGCAGGCAUGGAGCCCUGCUUGGUAACCUCUCAUGGUGGUCACUUCUACUGAAGAGCAAAGAAAGGUCAAAAUGAAACAUUUUCCAGUCCUUUCCCUCUGGUUGACCUUUUCUGGGGGCCAAAGCUCUGUGCCCCAGGUGGCCUGGUUGUGUGCAGAGAAAUGCAGCCCCCGCAAAGCCCUUGGUUUUCCCACAAGUCAUCAUCACUCCUUCCCAGGUGCCCCCAGCUGUGGCAGGAGAGAGAGAGCCCACGGCGCAGUGGGCACUGUGCCCUCCCAGCCGGGGCUCUCUGGCACAGAGCAGCAGCAGUGCCAGCACCUUUCAACCCGCUCCUGGCCUUGGCUUCACGCGGGAGCCAGAAGCCUCUGGAAAUCAGCACUGCCAGUUGCGUUCCCAGCUUGGAGCAGCUCCUGCGGGUGGGCAAAUCCUGCCCGUUUGACUGCUUCCAAAGAGGAAUAAAGGCAGAGGUCACCUGUUCCAUGUAUUCAGAGGAGUUGAUCCUGAGAGCACAGAAGCAACCGCAGGCUCUCCUCUGGCUCCCUC